Molecule: ribosomal RNA, 253 nt
Filed under: uncultured bacterium
Lineage: Bacteria
Description: partial 16S ribosomal RNA
Rfam family: Bacterial small subunit ribosomal RNA
Source: RNAcentral
GACGAACCGUGCGAACGUUGUUCGGAAUCACUGGGCUUAAAGGGCGCGUAGGCGGGCGGUCAAGUCAGAGGUGAAAUCCCACGGCUCAACCGUGGAAGCGCCCCUGAUACUGAUCGUCUCGAGGGAGGUAGGGGCGUGCGGAACUUCCGGUGGAGCGGUGAAAUGCGUAGAUAUCGGAAGGAACACCGGUGGCGAAAGCGGCGCGCUGGACCUCUACUGACGCUGAGGCGCGAAAGCCAGGGGAGCAAACGGG